UACGGGGGGAGCAAGCGUUGUUCGGAUUUACUGGGCGUAAAGGGCGCGUAGGCGGCCAGCACAAGUCGGUUGUGAAAUCUCCGGGCUUAACUCGGAAAGGUCAACCGAUACUGUGCGGCUAGAGUGCGGAAGGGGCAACUGGAAUUCUCGGUGUAGCGGUGAAAUGCGUAGAUAUCGAGAGGAACACCUGCGGCGAAGGCGGUUGCCUGGAGCUUUGCUGACGCUGAUGCGCGAAAGCGUGGGGAGCAAACGGG
RNAcentral lists this ribosomal RNA (254 nucleotides) under uncultured bacterium. RNAcentral describes it as "partial 16S ribosomal RNA". It matches the Rfam family "Bacterial small subunit ribosomal RNA", at positions 524 to 776 of the family's 1533-position model. The record is from RNAcentral.